RNAcentral lists this transfer RNA (84 nucleotides) under Clostridiales bacterium. Its description in RNAcentral is "tRNA-Leu". It matches the Rfam family "tRNA". From Rfam's summary of the family: Transfer RNA (tRNA) molecules are approximately 80 nucleotides in length. The record is from RNAcentral. Lineage: Bacteria; Bacillati; Bacillota; Clostridia; Eubacteriales.
GCGGAUAUGGCGGAAUUGGCAGACGCGCACGGUUCAGGUCCGUGUUGGGGCAACUCAAUGCAGGUUCAACUCCUGUUAUCCGCA